UACGGGGGGAGCAAGCGUUGUUCGGAUUUACUGGGCGUAAAGGGUGCGUAGGUGGGCAAGUAAGUCAGUGGUGAAAUCCCUCGGCUUAACCGGGGAACUGCGUCUGAUACUGGAUGGCUUGAGUGUGGGAGAGGGAUGCGGAAUUCCAGGUGUAGCGGUGAAAUGCGUAGAUAUCUGGAGGAACAUCAGUGGCGAAGGCGGCCCUCUGGUCCAGUACUGACACUCAAGUGCGAAAGCGUGGGGAGCAAACAGG
RNAcentral lists this ribosomal RNA (253 nucleotides) under uncultured bacterium. RNAcentral describes it as "partial 16S ribosomal RNA". It matches the Rfam family "Bacterial small subunit ribosomal RNA", at positions 524 to 776 of the family's 1533-position model. The record is from RNAcentral.